Molecule: non-coding RNA, 2050 nt
Organism: Aegilops tauschii subsp. strangulata
Lineage: Eukaryota; Viridiplantae; Streptophyta; Magnoliopsida; Poales; Poaceae
Source: RefSeq, a predicted model, not a curated record
CGUCCGGCAAAUGGGCCGGCCCAUUUACUAGCUGAGUCCUCCUCUACUUCCCGAGCCCCGACGACGCCUUCGGCCUUCCCACUCGCCGCCGCGCCCGCAACCGGGGUUGGCGCCGCCGGCCACUCCUAAGCUCCCUCCAGUCUCAGAGUCCACUGACUCUGCUCAUCCCCUCACUGGAGUCGGCGCCUCCCUGGAACACUAGCUCCGCCAUGGCCCAUGCGUUCGCCGCCUCCCCCGAAACCCUAUCCCCCCCCAGCCGUGCCCGAGCUCUGGUGGCCGUGACGGCGUCGCGUGCGCCCGCGGCGGCUCUCUCGUCGCCGCCGCCGUCGCCGGGACCUAGGGUUCGGGCAUCCGUGCUUGAUGCCCCGCGUCUCGAGUUCCCCGUCCUUCAGCAGGACGCCGGAGCUGGCCGCCGUCGUCUCCGUCGUUCAAGCAGAUGCAUUAGAAGGCAUUAAUUCUGGAUUCGGAGAACCAUCCAAGUCAUGAUGGAGUUUAGGCAGCUUCUGGAGCUUAUUUCACAAGAUUACUUUGUAGAAAAGUUUCCUCCCAUAUCUACUGGUUUAUAAGUAGUAAUAGGAGGUUACAGGUCUUAAAAUAACAAUACAGUUAGUUGGAAUUUGACUCUACAUGCGCCAGCUAGAAUGGAAUAGGAUUAGCAAAUGAAGCAACUGCUCUCCUGUUAUGAUCAAGGCCGUGAGAGAUAUUUUCACGAGGAUAUCUUUCAUAUUCAACCAUCGUGUAAGUCCUGUCUUGCUUAAUGGACAUGAGGAUGUCUUGAUUUCUGGCUGUAUGGAAGCACAUCCACACAUGAAUGAAGUGGUUAGUCUUGGAUGCCAUUCAGUGAUGUAACUUUGUGAUCUGGUGUUAUCCUUCAUGUACCAAAGGUAACCAUCAUCUAUAUUGUUGGUCAUUGAUCAAGAAACAUUUAUUUGCAGAAGAAAAACUACCUAGCAUGCUUGAUCUAUGGUGGAGCACAGAUGAUCUAGAGCACUUAUAUGAAGCUAUAGAGGGAGACAUCAGUACAACUAUUGUUGAAUAGGAAUACGUUAGUACUGGACUGCAACCAAGCGUUUGGGAAUAUCCUACAGCAGAUACGAUCAGCCGUAGGGACAGAAUAUGGAGCCAAAAGUUGCCAAGGAAAAUCCACAUGUUCCUUUUGAGAUAAUGACACAACCUUUAGCCGGGAGGCAGCUGCCGUAGAUUUGAUGAGGAUGGCGGCCAUAUCUUCUUAAAAUGAAAAUAUGCUAAAACAGAGAAGCCAACCUGGAGCAUUCUCUGUGACAUCUCGGGUGUGCCAGUGCUUUCAAAUUUGGUGUUGCCGUAACAAUGUGAUUUUCAAACAUAAGCUGCAUGUUUCAACAAAGUUGUUGCAUUGCUUUUGCAGCAUAUAGACGCGGUAAUAGCGGCAAAAAGAAAGCUUCAGUGGAAGGCCUGUGGCUUCUCUCGAUGUGUUGGGUAGUAGUAUGGUCAGUCUUUAUGUUCUGUGAGUCUUUGUUGCGCCUACCUGCGUUGGAGAUGUAUAUGCUUGCUGAAAGUGGGCCUGUGAACGCUAUAUGUGUCCUGGCUGUUUGGUUGGUCUAACUUAAAUUUGCUGUAAAGCACAUGUGUGCUGAUCUCUGGACAUAAUCAUGAAGAUUCCCUGAAGAUCAACAUCGAUGACAUCUGAGACAAAUACAGGGGCUCACAUAAUCCAUGAGGAGACGAUCGCCUGCUUGAAUGCAAUUCAGUUUGCGGCUGAAGUUAGAAUGGGUCCCAUCAUUAUUGAGAAGGACGCCUCUAUACUUAUACCCCGCUCUCCAAGCCAACAAGCACGACACGUCACACCAUGGAGGCGAAGUUCUUCCUGUUCAAUAUAUUUAUUUUGUUUUUAAGAACCUACCGUGUAAGCGUGCAUGUAAUUUGGUGGCUCACGCUUUAACCCAUGGAGCUCACAUAUGGCUCCUAGUGGCCUUGGAUUGGCACACAUGAUCAUGUUUCUGACGUUGUAUUUGUUGUGGUGGCCAACGAUUUGAAGGCACCAGUAUGUGAGUAAAGCCCACUUGUUGGAAUA